UCAUUGUUACCAUUGUGACAAAACUGGAAAUUCAGCAAAAGAAGGCUGGUAUUAGGAUUAAGACUGCUGAAGCUGUGGCAAAAAGGGACAUAUUGAACACACCUGUAAAAGCAAAAAGACACCGUCAACCAAAAACACUAUAAUAAAGAAAAAAGACUUUUGGAAAAACAAAAAAAAAUGUGUGAACAAGGUGGAGCACACUGAGGACAGACAAAGUCUGUGAUUGACAAGACUCUUCAUGCCUUAUCUGUUUCAGGACACAAAGACAGCAACUGGGUGCCCUUGCAGUUGGAUGGAGCCAUGGUGAGGAUGCAGGCAGACACGGGAUUGGCUGGAGGACUGACAUUUAACAAGACCAAUCUGUGUCAAGCAUACUUGCAUGUGCAUGUGGAGCAGGAGUCACAGGAACUAUUGACCAUCGUGACUUGCAGAGGAAAGUUCAGGUACCAAAGGCAAUCAUUUGGCAUCACCUCGGUUCCUGCACAUUUUCACUGAGCAAUGAACCAGGUCUUGAUCAAGCUGACAGGGGUACAAUGCUGGGAAAAAUGAGCUUGAGCACCUACAAAACUUGGAUAUUGAACUAUCAAGACUCAAAGAACAGGGGCUAAGGCUCCAGAAGGACAAGUUCUUGGUCAUAGUGGACACACAUAGUAAGUGGCCUGAAGUUGCCAUCAUGAAGUGCAUUCCAUCUGAAAAAUGCAUUGAAGAACUACAUUCCAGUUUAGCUGUGUUGGGCUUCCUCUAAAGCUUGUAAGUGACAAUGGCCCACAACUCCUGUCUGAAGAGUUCAAGGCAUUUAUGGAAGCAAACAUUCAUCAACACAUCAAAUGCUGCUUGACCUAUUGAGAUCUUCCAGCGCCUUAUUUGUUGCACAUAGUUGUGCAAUGGACAUUCACUGUUCAGAGCCAAGGGAGCCUUUUUGGCAAGCUCAGCUUUCUAAACAUAGCAGCUGACACUUCUAGAGAUCAAAGUGUUAUUUCUGAAUAUGUUAAACUUCCAGCCAAUACUCUUUGUUUAGCUUCUCAUCAUAAAUGGGGGCCAGUCUUCAGUUCUUAAUGUAAAUUGCAAUCAAUAGCCAUUCCGAAGUUAAAAGUGCAGCUUGGGAACAGCACUGUCUAUAGUACACAGAUUGUUUGCCCUGCAGCAUCAGGCUAAUUUCUCAAGAGAUGCAGGUUAAGCUAUGUUAUGUUAAUUAGGCUUGUUUCUAACCAGACAUCACUGUUUAUUUUGUUCAAGAAAGCUUGCAGACCAGAUGAUACUAUCACUUAAAACAUCAAAUAGCUAAAUUAUUAAUAGUUGGAAGAUUUGUGUACUCCUAGAAUCAGCUUCACAGCAUUAAUUAUUGGUAUCUGGGAACCUUUUAGACUACCUAUGUGAAAAUGUAUCUGAAAAAAUAUCAUAUGCAUGUGAAGUCCCCCAAGAGGGAGAGAAACAGUAUAAAUGUAACAAAGCAGUCAGCCUUCUUGGGAAUGGUCCAAGAACAUAAAGAAGAAUGACAGACAGAGGUGUGAACUAGAAUCUAUUCCUUUGCCUUCGAUUUAUGCAAUGGAUGAUUUGCUUGUCUGCAACUGUUUGAUAUGUCUUUUUAACUUAUAGGGA
Hypanus sabinus (Atlantic stingray) is the source of this 1599-nucleotide long non-coding RNA. RefSeq lists it as uncharacterized. The record is from RefSeq and is a predicted model, not a curated record. Lineage: Eukaryota; Metazoa; Chordata; Chondrichthyes; Myliobatiformes; Dasyatidae. The transcript has 3 exons.